AUAUUGGUAGUAUAACUUACGUACAGUUGCCUUCCAAGCAAAAAGACCUUAAGGUCAAUAUA
This 62-nucleotide transfer RNA is filed under the name Unio tumidus. Its description in RNAcentral is "tRNA-Gly". Lineage: Eukaryota; Metazoa; Mollusca; Bivalvia; Unionida; Unionidae. The record is from RNAcentral.